Molecule: long non-coding RNA, 23528 nt
Organism: Megachile rotundata (alfalfa leafcutting bee)
Lineage: Eukaryota; Metazoa; Arthropoda; Insecta; Hymenoptera; Megachilidae
Source: RefSeq, a predicted model, not a curated record
AUCCGCGCUCGCUUCGAACCUUUUCCUCGUCCAGGGUUACCGCACGGACCUCCCGAUUUUUUAAUACGCUCCUCGAAAUCGAACCAGUUUCCUAAACGCGACAAAUUACUCGACGCUUCUCUCUCAGUUACACCGAUCCUGUACCUCCGCGAAACCUGUACCCCCCGCUUCGACCACUUCGGAGAACCGUCGUUUCCUACGUGUCCUCGAUCGCGUAUCGCCGUCGACGAAGACGUCCCGCGUCGCGAACUAUUCCGCGUAACCGUCCACGCGAACUUCCGAGUCGCGAGUUUCGAAACUCGUCAAAAUCGAAGAACAAACGACUCGGUCGGGCGUCUCGGCAGGAUACAACGUUAAGACGAUAAGCGGAACCGUUAGUCGUCUUUCACGGAUUUUCUUCCGUUUCCUUGGAUACUUCUUUCGCGAACGAGAUACGACGAGGGAAGCGAGGUCACUAGAGGGCGGCGACCAAUGGGGACGAGGAGUCAAGCGGGGCGCGAAAAAUGGGCCGGACCGUUUCAAUCCACCCCCGAGGCUAAGGGUGAGGGUAAGAACGCCGACGGAGUAGGGUAGAGCGACGGGGCUCGGCUCGAAGACGACCGGGCCGUCGACGCAGGGUCAGUCGGGUCGCGGACCUGCACCUCUGCGUUUCCGUGUCUUUUGCCAUUUUACUCCACCCCGUUACGCUUUCGAGCUUCGUCGUCGCUUCUUCCGCCUUUGCCCUCUGCUCCUUUCCUUCCCGAGAACGAUUAUGUCACUGUUUCUUUCGUUCGCCUCCUCUCCGUCUAUGCGAAAUUAGGCAUCGACGCGACGAAACGAUAAAUCGAGCGAAAAAUCGAACGACGAGCGGUAAGCUCGAGCGCGAAAAGUAACGUUCAGGGAUGUUAGUCGCGCGCGAAAGAUCUUGUCCAACGACCUCGUCGAAUGUCCGGAAUGGUCAGCGAAUCCGUGGCUCGUAGAACGCGAAAGGGAUUCUGAAAUCGUUGAAUCUAGCAACGUUGACGGGCGUAGAAGCCGAACGGGGAACAGGGAAUAGGGAACAGGGGGAACGAGAAGGGGGCAGAAGAGAAGCGGGGUGGCUGGCGCCGUGUACAAGUGCAUAUCGGUGAAGGGGUGGUCGAACAAUGCGCUCGUUCAAUGCGCUCUAGAUAUGAUUACCGGAAACCAUCCCAUAAUUACUUUUUGUACGUCGAAAACGCAGCGAGCCCCCUCGUUUCGUUUCCCUCCCUUCGGCCCUGCUUCUCUUCACCGCUAAAACCACCGGCGGCCUUCUAUCUGUCUCUCUCCCCCUCCCUCUCCGCGUCGUUCCUUCUGUUGCCCCCCGUCGGUUCUUUUCCCCUCUUAGCACCGCUGCCCUCUUAAAACGUUCGCAACGCGCGGCCUUCUUCGCGUUUCAACCUGACACGCGCGAUGCUUUUAAAGUGCCAGCCAACGUUAACGCCACUCUCGAGAUGAUUUAUCGAAAUCGCUGCGUUCGCCGCAACCGUGUUUCGACCACCGCCACUCCCGCGCCCGAAUCUCUCUUCGAAAAAGCUACGCCGCCUCUCCACGAUCUCCGUUAAUCUCUUCCCCCUUCUCCUCCCCGUUUCACCGAGAGGCNUCGUAUCUCGCGGGAUAUCGCGCGCCGUGCCGACGAACGAUCGCAGGAUAUUUUGACCGAUUUCGACUUGUUCGGGACGGUGCGACACGGUGCGAACGAGCGUGCCUCUCUAGCGAGUUUUUUUACCAGAUUCGUGAGCAUGGAAUUAAUAAAAAGUUUCGCAAUCGAAACCGUACCGUUAGGAGAAUCGACGUCGAAGAGGUUCAGCGAGCGAAUCGGAUCAGGAAAGAGCAGAUAGGAGUAAGGUGCACGGGGUUAGGGGGAUGGCGAGGCGAGAACAUGGCAAAGGGGAGAAUCACUGUUCGCUCGGAGCGGUGGUUACGGUCGCGGUGACGCUGCCGGUGGUGGAGGCGGCUACAUUAUGAGUGUGUUCAUAUUUCCUGCGUUGCCUCCUUCCUUCCCUUAUCUGUCUUCCCUACCCUCCGAGCCCUUUUGUUCGCACUCUUUCGACUGUUAAUGCCGCGAAAUUAACUCCGGCAGGAGCGAGUUUAAGAACCGCUACAAGGUGGUAUAUAUACGUACUCCCGUUCCCAUUCCCGUUCCCGUUCUCUUUCCCGUUCCCGCCCCCGCCGCCGCCCCUGCUCUCGCUCCCGCUCCCGUUCCACGUCCAAAGAGCGCCCGAAGGCCGUCUUCAUUGUCCCGCCGGCGUAUUAUUUUAACAUUAUCUGCUACUCGACUGCCGCUUAAUUAAUUUAUUUAUGAGCCGAGGCGGACGACGAUGGCCAACGAUCGAAGGCCUAAAGGAAAAGAGUCGGAGACGCGCGAGGCGGAGGAUCGGCCAGACAAAGACGAGGGUGAGCGAGGGUGAAAGAGACGUAGGAAGCGAAAGAGAAAGGGAAAAGGAAAGGGAAAGGGAAAGGGAAAGGGAAAGGGAAAUGGAAAGGAGAGGAAACGGGAGAAAGAAUGGAAUGGUCCCGGUAGGAGAUUUGUCUCCAGAGGUUCAACGGUUCAACCCCUUGUCACGACGACGUUGGUCGAGUCGCGUCGACUCGACGCUUCUUCGACCGAACAAGGUAGCCCUAAUAACGCUUUCUCCUUUAUUGCCUCACCGCUUUAUCGCCAACCAAGGAAAUUACUCGUCAAAGGGUGGUCUCGAGUCAGGGAACGAUCAACGAGAAGCAACUUUGUCGCGCGUACGCCUAGCGCGGAGCGAGAGAAGAAAAGUUCUUUCGUGUUCGUUCGCUUAAAGGAGGCCAGUAGGGGAAGUUUUUCGAAACGCUUGGAAAUUAAUGCGCGAAAUCGGCCGAGUCGUUCUUUCCGAGAUCGAGCAAUAUAUCAAACGAUUCCCCCGAAGGGAGAAACCCCUACGGAAAGGGAGUGGAGCAUUUGCAUAGGGGAAAAGAUCGGACAGGCUGGUCAGUCGGCCGAUUCGAGAUCACCUGUCCCACGAUUAUCCGGGGUCAAGAUUACCAGUGGGACCACUUCCCCCGGAACGGGCCCCUGGCCCGAUCGUCUUCCGGACGUUCGAGUUUACGAUAAAUUAAUGGUUUUUCGGGGGGUCAACCUUCUCGACGGUCUUACCGGCCGGUCUCACGCGAGAAUUCAAAUCGCCAACUGUCCUCUAAUUAUUUAUGGUCGUUCGCUUCGCCUCGCCUCGACCGCUCGUUGGACAACCUCUGUCACGGACCUCCGCGUACGAUACUUGUCACGAUUUGCUCAGUCGCGUCGUACAACUAGCGAACGAUCAUUUAUCGAUUUGUCGCGAGUAUUAGACAUUUUCCAUGAGGAAUUCGCAAAAAUCCGCGUUCGAAAAGCUUCGUACAGUUUACACUGCUGUUCGAUUCGUAACCGUCGAACCGGACCCGGGUCGAACAAUGGCCGUGGGAUCGUUAACGACACCGUGUCAGCUCGGCAUCGUGAUUCUACAAAUCGAAAGAAGAAAAGGGAGAAAGCUUACGGGACGCAGGUGGGACGCUAAUGGUUUCGCGUCGAACGUCGGCUGACCGUUUAAACGCUUAAAGGCUCGCCAAACUGUUCCGUCGUUUCAUUAAUCUCCCGUGAAAUUUUCCCGUGUGUAAACAGCUUUAUUGACGGCUCGACCGAUUUUUCGGCCGAGAGUUCAGCGAAUCGCAAAAUUUGACGAAAGGGCCUGCUUUCGCGUUUACGACGAUCGACGAGCUUGUCAGUCGCAGAUGUCGAUUCCUUUUUGCGCGCGCGUUCUAACGGUUCUCCGCUAUUCACCGCUCGAGAACACGCUCGCGCGCAACCGUGAAACAACGAAUUAAUUGCGCGGAAACGAACUACCCGACUUUCGAUGACGCGCGAUGCGCUCGAGGAUGAAAACGCGCGAGCGCGUAGGAAGGGUGAUCGAAAGGCAUCUACUACGCGCAGGGACCGCAAAGAAAGGUACUACGAGGGUGGCGAGAGUCCCCUGGGGGACCUAUUGUCCGAAUACCCUGAUUAAAAACCCAUUCCCCGGUUACGCGCUUUAGAAACCCGCUCGAAUCGAAAAUUUGAGAGCACCGCGCGAUAUCGCGCGUACACCGAUUCGUUUAGUAGCGGUCGCGAGGGAACCGAAGAAACGCGUCGGCUUCGUCGUUCCGUCCCGCUCGCUUUCUUCUCCUCUCUCUUUCGGCGAAACUUUAAAAACCCGGUGCGACGGCCGUCGUGAAACUUUCAGACUAAAGAGGAGUAGGUCCGAUCGAGAGGAAUAGUCGCGUCGCUUCGAGCGAGAGUCCGCUCCGGCAAAGGGACAGAGUUCGGUGGAUAGUUGCCGGCGUUAAAAGCCACUCGGCGACGUAAUUAGCGAAGCGACGACGAUAACGGGGUCGUGACGAGGAGAGGCGGGGAGAAACGAGCAGAGACGAGACACCCCUCGUUCGCCAGAGAGGCCGAACACGACUGUUUUUCUGGUCCAUGAAUCUUUUAACCGGUUACGCCGCGUACGCCGAGUGGCGAGGGAAGCCCCUCGCGUGGAAAACGGUAAGCGGAUACAGUCGUUUGCCAUCUACCUGUUCACCUGUACGUUUUCUCGAGCACGCGAGUCGUUCGUCGACGAAGGGGACGCCGUCGAGAGUAACCGCUCGGAUCGGCGCCCCACCACGCAUGCCGAUAAAUCGAACGACACCAGGAAGGAUUCGAGCGUGACAGUGCGUAGCGAAUCGAACCGGUCGUCGCGUCGAAGAAGAUCGGUCGCGACGAACGAGCGGAGGACGCGUCGAAACGAGACCGAGAGCGGAUACCGUACGCGCAUCGGUACAUCGAGUUCAGCGGGGUUCGAUAAUCAUCGGAGAGGCUGACGGUCAGCGGUUCGGGGGCCUAUUCACGCGGCGUUGCGAGGCCUUUCACGGAUAUCAGGUUGCCCAUUAGCAACUAGAGAGGCUGUCCAGUAAUUACGGCUUAAUUAAUCCUCCGAGGCUCGUCUCCGACUCGACUGAUUAACGCGUGCCGCUCUCAAAGGAAGAGCCAGCAAUACGAUGACCUUCCGCGCCGAAAAUCCGCUACCGCGACCCGGCCUCGCUUCUCCUCUUUGCCCUCUCCCAUCCUCGACUCCUCCGCGUCUUUUACGGAUUUGCUCCGUGCACGACACCGACGAUCCGAUCGCCGCGUUUUCGUCCUCGAUUUUGCUUUCUCUCGUCCGAUACGAGUUCGACACCGAACGUUCGCGUACGUCGAGGAGAAAAAAACCGGUAAGAGACUCGGAUCGAACGAGCGAGUAGAAGAAGAAGAAGGAGGACAAAGAGGAAAAAGGAGAGAAGAAUAAAGGGUCCCUUUUAGUUUUUCGUACGACCGAGGAUAUAUACCGGCACGAUGACGAUGGCGGCCUUCCGAACGACCGAGAAAAGAUCCUGAAAGGUAAUUACUCCGUGCUAGGUGCAAACAAUAGACGUUCUACCCUUUGCUCCUCGUGAGAAACAAAAACCGCCCGUUAAGCCGAACGAAGGCCCGUUUCGUAUACCUGUUCGCGCGCUAACGGAUCCACCGGGGGCCAGUCGCUCCUCUACCUUUAACGUCUUACCCAACGAAUUACGCGAACGUUAAUCAACCGCGUACCCCGCGACGUUGUCCAGAAGCGAGAAGAGCGAUCGAAUCGUGAGCGAAUCGAGCGGAAGACGAGAAAACGCGAGACGAUUGAGCGGUUAAACGUUCGCGUCAACGUUUUCUCCCCGGCGAACGAGAACGGUGAAAACGGUUGCACGCUAACCACCCACGCGUUAAUCGUCAAUCCCGUUAGCGGCGCCGACAGGGCACCCUCCCGCGGCAAAGGAUCAUCCCUUAAUCCGUUCAUUCGCAUCCCUGCGGCUCUCUCGCGGUGCAACCGCGCGAACGGGGAGAGACGGCGCGCUACGAACGAGCGAUUUCGCGACUCGCACCCCGUGCCAAAACUCACCCUCCGCCGCCGCGACAACCGCAUCCAUCGCGACGGUUCCCUUUCCGUCUCUCUCGUUUCGUUCCGUUCCGAGCCCUUACCGUGACACUACCCUCCUCCUCCUCCUCGCUUUCCUUCUUUCUCGACGGCCGCGCCCGCGCUCGUUGUCUCCGCAUUUUCGUUCGGUCCUCUUUUUAUCCGCGCUCGAUACGCGGAAGCGCACGGCCGUACGCUCGCGCAUCCUGACAUCGACGAUACGCGUUAUUUACGCGAUGUCGCGCGCCCAUCCUCCGACCGAGCCGACUAUCCUCGGCCACCCACGAAUUUCUGCUGCGCGCGCUCCGAACUCCUCUCCGCUCGGCCGAGUUGCUCGCGAUCCUGGAGAGAAGACUCGCUGCUCCCCUUCCGGGAAAGUUGCGCACACGCGAGCGACCCGGUCCUGCGGGAUCCCUCGACCUGCGACCCGACCCGCCGGUACCGAUCCGUCCGAAAGAAUAGACGAAAAGCGAUACCAUAAUAAACACGUUUUACGGCGUCGACCGAUUCCCAAAGCCGCACGAGCCAGCCGGCGGAGAAUAGUCGCGAACGCGGAUAUGGCCGACGACGCAGGUAGGCUACCUUGUUCCUCCUUUUCUGGCUCGAGCGUUCCGUUUCGGUCUAGCCUAGGUAGCCCGGAUCGUUUGCUCCCGCUUCGGGUGCUUCGGGUCCUGGCGCGACGGGUAACGCGACGCACAAUGGAUAAAUGAGAUUUUUUGCGAGCGAUUGAGAUCCAAGAGCGGGUAGAGCCGAAUGAAGACGCGAGGUUGGGAGCGCCGAGGGAGCAUCGUUGUCUCCCCCGGGAAGGACAGAGAGCGUGCCGAUGAUAGGGUGCAUCCCUCGAGACCGAGGGCUCCAAGAAAGGGUUGACAGAGGAGGCUUUUAAUACUCGCGGUAUCGUCCUUGCAUCGUCGAUAAAACGCGUCCGCGAAAUUACCACGAGUUACGUCGCGUUUGCUCGCCGCGCGAAAUUUCGAGAGAUUCCGAACCGAACGGAAUCCGCGCCGCGAUCCUAGAGAAGCGACUACCUCGAAACAGUACCGUUAUAAAUGCGAGUCGGUCUCUGUUGCUCCCUGUUUCGAUUCUCCGUCCUGUUCUCUCCCGGUGGCGGCGCGACAGUGGCGGUUUCGAGUUAGCAAAUUGGCGAGCAGCGAGACACCGUGCUGGGACGAGAGCGGACAAGAAGCAACGAAAACGGUGCAAGGUUUCGACGCCGUAACUGCCGCGCGAGACUGGCGGACACGGCUAAUUAGGGGAAGCCAAGCCCUCGCGUCAUAGCAAGAUAAUUAAUUGAACCGUGGAUUAAUGUCGGAGGAUUAAUCUCUUCCUCUCCCCCGGAUCGAGCAACCGGAUUUUACUUGCCACGCUCCCGGUCCAACGAGCCCGUUACCGCUCGCGAUAAAUCCAUCGUUUCGAAGCGGGACAACAUUUUUAUCCGAUUUACCGAAUUACCGACGCGACGCGCCGAUUUCGAUUCGUCGAGAAGAGAGCCUUCUUUCGCUAUCGAAGGCUACAACACCGUUGCCGUAACAAGAGCCACGAACGCGAUCCUUGACACCGCGCACCGUCGGUGCUAUCGAUGAUGCUUAGCAACGCGGAAGCCAUUAGCCAUAUGGCAUACGCCGCGUCGCACCGCGCCGUGCCACGUUGCAUCGCGACUUGCCCUCUCUCGCGAGCGAACGCCUCUGUCCGUUCAUUGCCAGCCUAUCGAACCUCGCUAACCACGGAAUUACACUCGACUCGCGGAUAAACUCUUUCUCUCCGUCGGCGUAAUAGCUAUCGCGAUGAAUCCUGGCUCGUCUUCGUCUCGCGAACCGAUCGCGGCCGAAGAUCCCUGGAAACGAAACGAACGAAUCCGCCGCGUCGAAAGGCGUACGCGUCCGUUCGACGAGUCUCGCCGGCGAUCGCGAUCGCUUCCUCGUAUAAAUAUGCAACGCGUCACCCGUGGGUCAGCUCCGACUCGUACGCGACGCGACGAACGCGCUCGCGAACGUCGCCUCGCGCACGGGACAAACAUUGCCGGUUCGACGCGGCGCGCGCGUGUACACGCGUGUAUGUACGUUAAUCCUCCACAAUGGGAUCCUCUACAAUGGCCUUUGUCCGCCGUGCUCGCGGAAAGAAAUGAAAAACGAGGCUCUCCUCUAACCCUCUGCCCGCUCUUUUGCCCCCCGUCCUUCCUCCAUCUUUCUCCGUUCGUCCGGUCGCCUCUCGCAUCUCGUGUUUCUCUCUUCGAAUCUAACCUUUAGUUUCCACGCGCUCUUUGAUCGUAGCUCCGGCCGCGUCCAAAAGCGGAUCGUAAAAAUUCGAGGAAAACGCGUCGUUACGGACGAUCAAGUUGUCGAGUGGAAAAUUGAACGGGACUCGACUCGACGCCGACAAAAACUCUGCUCGUGGAUCUCGUUUAGAUUCCGCAACGUCACGCGACGAAGCUCGUCCGAAAAAGAGGUCGGUUUCCAGCGAGCUUCUUGUACUCGAUGUCGUCACGUCUCGACUCGGUCCAGAAGGUUCGACGACUUUUCGGACAUUCGAUCGGUAGCGAUUAUAGCGUCGCGCGAGCGGAAACUUCUUGAAGGCUUGGGCGUCGAACCGAGGCGCGUCGCACCGCGAAGCGACGGUUGCACGGCUCGACGAUCGUAUUAGCCGGUAACGGUGCCUAAUUCGCUGCAAAGCCGCUAAUCCGGCAGAAUUAAUCCGCCUCGGUCGGUUGCUUUUCAUCAAUGUGUCGUCGUUCGCGAAGCGCCGGGAGAGCGGUGGGACACGGCCAGCUUCGGCCCUUGAUUCUCCGCGGCCCCUGAUUCUCUCGACCAACCCCUCCAGCCUCCCUUCUCUCUUCCCCGAUCCUGUUUCGUUCUUGUCUCGUCUCUCUCUCUCUCUCUCUCUCUCUUCCCCUCUCUUUCUCUCUCCCGCAGCCUCUCUUUUAUAUUCGUCCGUCUUUGUCCGACUCGUCUGGCCCUGUUACGCGCGCCGAUCUCUGUCUCGGUUGCUCCGUCGAAGCAUCGACGACUCGGCUCGUUUACAGUGGGGCGUCAAGUUCGAAGCGAGUUUGCCGGAGCUCGGUCGGUCGCCUCUCGACAAGGAUGCGAGCCACUCGAAAACGUAGCGUAUUCUGCGCGGAAUGCCGCGGGAUCUGACAUAAUGCCCGUCUCCCCCGGCCUCUCCGCGCUCAACCUCAACCCUCCCCGGAAAGUCUGUUCGCGGUGAGUAGGACGCGAUGGUUGCUACGGCGAUGAGAGGACCGACGCGACGAGAAACGCCAUUCGAAUCCAUUCCCCAGCGAUCGGCUCUCGUUCGAGAUCUCCCGGCGUGCGCGAAGAUGCAUUAUUAAAAGCCGAACGAGUACUUUGUAACGAGUUACCCCCCAGCAUCCCCCUGCCUCUAACCACGAAUCGGCUUCCCGUCGCGCUUCGACGAACGCGAUUCCGCCGAAUCGCGACGCGGAAGCUCCGAAUGCUUCGCACCAACGCGCUUUCUCCCGCCGCGUCAGCCCGCUCGAUCCGUUCCUCGUUGCUUACAAAAUUUCCCUUUACCCGUUGCCGAACGCGAUUAAUCCCGGUGCGUUCGAUCUAAUCGAACGACGUAAUCUCUCCGAGCGUUGUUCGUUUCGAAUUUGUUCGUCUACGCGAGGAUUUGGAUAACGAUCGAGAGGGUUACGGAUCGGUGCGAGUUACGAGAACAAAAAAUGGGGUAGAUUUCCUCGACGCGUUCGUAAACCGUCGCGUCGCGCUCGAACGAGAAAACGUUGCGAUAAGAAUAUUAACGAACGGAAAGCGAUCGCGGAGGAACAGCGGAAGGGAGGGAAUAAUUCGAUUUUUCGAUCGGAGUGAAUGCCGCGGUGAUUGCCAUCGAGCGCGAAAUAGGAUUUACCGGAGAGGCGAGACUCGUAAGAUUUCGAGCGAUUCGUCGGAUUGAUAUUCCUGCCGCUCGUUCCGGCGACGCUGCUCGAUAAUGGCGUAUUGUUUUAUUAAUUUUAUCCGGAGAACAGUCGCCUUAAACUAUCCGGCGUCGCGGCUCGAACACGGCUGUUUCCGUCGCGCGAAAUUUCGCUCGGAUAUAAUCGACGCGAUUCAUCUCGUCCGAAACGCGUUUCGCUUCGCGAAAGGCCGCAAAGAAGAACGAUCCGAAAAGAACGGUUGGAAAGAGGGAGCGACGAUCGAUGAACGCGCCGUUUGAAAUUUUAUGCGAGUUCUGGUUCGUUCGGUCUCGCAUCGAUGAUCGUCCGUAUACCUAUAAAGUAUAAAGCGCGGCCGAAAGAAUAGGGUCGGGAACCGCGCGCGGUCACCGAGACUGGAAUUAAAAUCGACGACUACCCUCGUACGCGAGACUAGACCGCAGGUUGUUUCUCUAUUCUUCGGUAACCACGACCCCCCGUCCGCUUACUCUUCUGCCGGGCUUUUCGGUCGGUGUCGGUGGUCCGUAGUAGUCGCUUCUCGACGUCCCCCUUCCUGCGAAUUCAAAUUUUCCCGAAUUUCGUUUAAAACGUUUAUGAUCCGUGUCCGAGAAACGAGGGGUCGUCGACUGGAUCCCACGAGAGAGGUGUCUCGGCCCUAAGUUUGCGCAGCCGGACGAGUUUCGUGCGCGUACGAAGACGACCGACCGGAUCUGACCGGACCUCGUCGAGCCGGACAAGGAAAUCCAUCGACUUUCCCAUAUCCGUAUCCGACCACAUGCCUAAUAAAUAUCUCCCGGAUGGAAAUCGCGUUCCUUCCCUAUUAUUCUCGCUCGUCGGCCGGUGGCUUUACGAGCGCCGCGGUUCUCUCGAUGCACGGCCAGUCGAUGCGACGCGAUCAAAUUGAAGCGGAGCAAGGAACGGUGCCGACGCGAUUUAGAAAACGCACCGAUUUGUCCGGAACAACGCGCAAAUGCGUUGGAACAACGGAAAAUACUUUAAGUAAGAAACAAAUCGUCGAGACAGAACGAGAAACGUUUAGAGAAAGAUUGAAAGGCACGCGGCAGUUACGAUGGAGAUAUCGUUCGUAGUUGGAAAACGCGAUCGUCGACGGGGAACGGAACAAUCUGGAGCGUAAUUUCUAAAUCGCGAGGAGAAAAAACGAUCUUUGAUUCGUCGACUGUCGCGCAGCAGAUUACAAAAGACGUAAAAGGUAGAAGGCGAAAGGUAGCGGCGUUCGUUCCAGCUGGGGUCCACGGCUAAUGGCGUAUUGUAGAGGUAUAUAAUAUAAUGGCAGUUAGCACCCUACUGCGGUCUGUAGUGGGUGUGUUGUGACAUCGAGACCGGAACAAACAAACAUCGUGUCCAUUUUGGAAGGGUCCGGGACAAAGUGUCGGUGACCAGUGCCGAGACGACGGCAAGCUUGCGGGACGCGCGAGCCUCUUGCUCUCGACGACUCGCUGUUGCGAGAUCGAGAGCCAGUAGGGUGCCGUUAAAUAGGAGAACGAUGCACUCCCACGAUCGACGCGAUCCCAUUUUUCUCCCCCUUAACCGUGCUCCGUUCGGCUUUCUUCCGCGACAUUACCUCCUCUUUCCUUCGGUCCGUUGAAUCUUUCGGCCCGCACUCGCCGUUCUCGACGCGAUUCCAAACGAAACGUCGAUUCUCGAAUCGUCGAAAAAAUUUGCUAAACCCGUUUGCGAACUAACGGACUAACGGAAAGUCCGGAGGACCGAAAAGCGAGAAGGGACGGAAAACCGCUUCGAAGAAUCCAACCGUCGCGUCCGUGACCUCGGUGCUCCCGAUGACCGGGCACAAGCACGGAUUCCCGAGCUUUUCUUCGAACGAGGCGCGUGGCUCGUGUUCCCAGGCCCUGGAGUCGAAUCUAGCCCGAAUACGGGUUUGUUCUAGAAUCCACGAACGAAAUCGAGUUUCCUCUGCGGGCCCGUACGAUCCCACGAAACGCGAACAGACGACAAACGAGUUGUCGCGUACGGGACGGCCGGUCUCGAAAAACCACGGGAACUCGUUUUCUCUUAGCCAGUUUCCGUUUUGGUGACCCGUGUUACCUAGGAAGACAAACGCAUCAUCGAUAUUCCUGUUGGCCGAGUACGUAGUUCCAACCGUCGAAACGAUGCGACUCGCGAUCGAAAGGAUCGAGAGCAAGACGAACGGCGAAUGGCGUAACGAAACACCUUGCGGCGGUGGUAAAGCGUGGGCGAGACAAGUGGCGAAACGGCCGGUGGUUAAAAGCGAGCGAAACCGGCUGCGGUGGCAAACGCAGCCCCGAGCGGGAACCGAAACCCUGCCGGUGUCGUGGAUGGGUCCGAGUACCACUUUACCGAGCAGCAUGUGUUCCUGUCUCGGAUUUCACGUUCUCUCCUCUCCUCGCCCGUUUCGGCCGAGUCGACGCGAUACGCUUUUUGGCCGUCGACCCUCUCUACUCUGUACACUGUACCGGAUCGAAUCCGAUGCUCGCGAUUUUGUCGCGUGGAACAACGCGCUCGAGAAUCGUUAGCUCUUCUUCGUCCUAUUUCUUCUCGUCUAACGGCGAAAUUUCGAAACGAGCAAGUUUAAACGUUACCGCGAGCGGAAAGUUUUGUUCGUCCGUCGAACGCUAGAUCGAUCUACGCGAGUGACGCUUCGAACGUUUCCCGAGACUGGAAAGAUGCGGUCUCACGGGUAUUUGGCCGUCUCCCCCCUCUCGACGACCCGUCUCGAGUUCGAAAAGUCGAGAAUAUAAAUCACGAUAUUAGCCGUAGGAUCACGGUCCCCGAGGAAAAACGACCCCGCGAACGUCUACUCCGUUACCGACGAAGCUACGACCGUCCGUUUUUUCUCACAAUUAUCGAAACCGAAGGCUCGAAAAAAACUGGACCGUACUAAAGGGAACUAAAAGGAAAAAGAACGAUUUCGAAGUCGAACGCGAGUCGUUGCCUCGGAACGAGGGAAAUUAAUCGACGACUUUUUGAACGGCGAUCGCGUAAUAUGCAUAAGCGAACGCGUAAACGCAGGCAUAAACACGGAGAAUGGGUGGUAUAGAACGAAAGAACGGUCACCCCCGUGAAAGCCUCCCUCGGUUUGGAGGGACGGAGGAGCCUGUGGUCGCGCAGCUGUCCCAUGUCCAGAUGUCCGGUUUUCGGCCACGGGACGACGACUCACUGUGAGAAAACCAAUCCUCGGUUCUCGGCUCCCUUCUUUCGUUGCCUCUUUUCUUUGUCUUCGUUCACCCUCCUUCCUUCUUCGAGCCGUGUUCCCUCUUUCUCGUUCCGUUUCCUCGACGGAUCCCCAACGCACAUUAAUUACCCCGCUCGAAGACUAUCCUUCUGGAUUAUCCGAAAUUUAAUACGCCACCGUGCACCCCGCUGCGUUUCAUCGCGUUUCACCGCAGAACGUUUGUUUCGCACGCGAUCGAGACUCGAUUUUCCCGCUGACAACUUUCUUCCUUACCGAUAUACAAGUGACUCGAAUUCGAUCGUGUUUCGUUGCCGGUCUUCCCGUUCGCGUUCGCCGUUCGGUUUCGAGCUUGCCGCUCGAUGGAAUAAUUUACUCGUUGAAAGAACUCUUAUCGACCCGAGUUCUUUUUUUCGAUUCGGAUAACGAGUCACGCUGACUAGAGAAAAAUCUGAAACGCGUCCACCCGGACCGUUCUUCUUCUCGUUUUUUUUUUUCUCCUUCGGUUCCCUCUUCUCGCUUCGCUCUUCCACUCCCUACUUUUCCGAGACUAUCAACGACCAUCGCGGUAAACUUAAAGACGGUAAAGUCCGACUACCAGUUUAGAAACACGAGCGAUAUCAAUUUUAUCGAUGUCAUAAUUCAGUUGCUUAUCUCGACGCAGCCGCGCCACUACGAACGCCGGUAAGUACGGGGUGUCGAUAAAGUUCCAGACAGCGAGAUACGAAGCUCGUAUGCGAGUAAAAACCGAACUGGCAGCCGCUUCGGAGCUCUGUCCAGAUUACCACACGGAUCCGUUUCGGUUUUAUGCUCGUACGAAAAUUAACUUAAAAACGCUCGAAAGCAGACGGUCGAAGCGCGACAAAGAAACGACGAACCCUCGGAGAAGAACGGGUCCGACUGUAAAUGCGUGGCCGUCGAAGGUGUUCGGUAGGAGUGGUCGACUAUUAUUAAUAAAGCGUGCAUUAAAAGAAAGAUACGGACUCGAGAACACGGACAAUAGGUACGGGGGUGGCGCGGAAGCGUUCUCCGGCGCAAGGAGAACGAUCGUCGUAAAUCACCGAAGAGCGGCUUUCGAAGGAUUCUUCUUUUUUUCGCGGCCGCGAGUUCUCCUUCGAAUUCGUCUGCUCCGGCAAGUUGGAAGGCAACGCGUUUCCCUCGGAACGACCGGUCGACUAUUAAUUAGGGUACGUGACGCGGCAUAAUUAGGCGGUGCGUAAUCAGAUCGUCGAAUAGAAUUGAUAUACGUCUAGUUACGCCUAACGAUCCCCUUGGUGACAAUGCAUUAAGACGUCGCGCGUCACGAAGCUACCCCGCAACGUCGUUGUUCGCUUCGUACCGCGAUCGCAACCACGCGUCUAGCGAUUUUCGAUUUCUCGUUCGUUUCGGUCCGAGGAGAGCCCGGAAGACGAAGAGCAGCGACGCGAAUUGGCAAUUCGAAGGGCACUUACCACCCGGGCCAAUUCUCGCGCUGAUUAGUAAUAUUGUGGCCUGAUGAGCCGAGGGCUCGAGCCGUCGCGACGGUCGAGUAGGAGAUGAGACCGUAACCUCGUUACCGACCCGUGGGCGACUACCCCAACUAUAACGCUAUCCUCGGAACCAUAAAGUAGCGCGAGACGAACGCGUCAAGGCGAACGAACGAACGCACAAAGAGGGACGAACGGAUAGGCGCGUGGAUAGUCGAGAGAUUCGUCCCCCGCGAACUUGCACGACCCUUUGGGAUCGAAAUACGCGAUCGAAUUACGUAAUAACCGGUUGCUCCGCGACUCUGUUCGGUCGGAGGGAAAGUAGACGCGUAAACGCGAACAGCGGAAAUGUUUGCUCGUUGGCAGAGGCUCAUGCGUUUUUCGAGGGGCGUUCGUUAGCGGUUCGCGGUCGAGCGGGCACGGAUACGGGUGCGCGUGCUUCGCACCCCAUUCUCGGCAUUGGAAUCGUAGCAUCGUCCCGUCAUUGUCGAGGUAGGCGAACGCGACCGACACCGUGGGCGGUGCGUGAUUUCAGGGAGAAAGGUCACCGCGAGAAAUCGUCACGAUCGUUGGAUCGGAAAAUAAUGACCGGUGCGAGCGACUGCUCUAUUCAAUGACCGUGGAAGAGGAAGCGGGUACAAGGGUUGCGAUUGCGGUACGCCACCGCGCCAUCGGUUACGGAAGAGGUAGAAAAGGACGGGUGGUUAGCGCGUGGGGUGAGCCGCGACAAUGCUCUAAUCAAAUGUCACGAAUCAGCGCCAUUAUGCGCAUCUGCGGUAUGAAUUCGUAAAUACGCCUCGAGGCGUUCGCCUUUGCUCCCCGGUGAAUAUCCAUCGAGAGAUUUCCACGGGAAUCGUGGCUGUUCUCGCCCCAUCGAAUCCACCGUCGAAACGUCGAUACCGAUAUCGACUCGCUGCUGAUCGCGAACUUCUCCGCUUCAUCUUUUCUUAAGAUAUUUACCUAUCUAUCGUCGCGUGAAUAAUUGCGUUAAAAUAAACGAAAUAAAUACGCAAGUAUCGCCAUCUUUGAAUCGAUUAUACAAUUACUGAAAUGUGGUAUAUUCCCCAAUAUGACAAGAUACCGAGUUACUCUAAUAAGCAUGUACGAUAGUCGCGCUAUUUAUAGCCACGAUAAAGACCUUAACGUUUCGCUUGUACCUUGCGAUAGACUUUGGUUCGUCUAUGGCGCUGCUUCAAAGAUUCUCGAAAACGAUUCGUGACGCGCGUAAAUAACGAAAACGAGCGUAACGGACCGUGCGCAAGAGGAAAUUUUCAUCCGAGUCGUUAUCUGUUUCUCGCGCAAAAAAAAAUGAUGGCGUUAAAGUUACGCGAAGUUAGCAUCUUUUUCCGGCGUUCGCGUGGAAAAGAACGCGAAGCGGAGUCGGAGAAUGGCAACGUCGAUCGUCCGAGCGCGAGAGUUUGUCUGUGGUCGGUGCCUCGUAAAUCCCCUACGAAAACUCGAAAGCCGCGACGUAUCGCCGCGACGAAACGAUGCGGCAGGGAGGGAGGAAAAAAAAAGAAAGCGUUUCGACAUACCGGCGUAGAACUUUUCCGUUUUCGCAGAGACGUCGAGCGAAAAUAAUGCCGCGUUCUAAUCCCGAAAGCGGGAAUCCGAUUCGCGCGGCGAAACCGAGUUCCAUGUAGCGAGACUCGACUUCGUAGGGAGAGAGAAAAAAAAGCCCUUACGAAACGAAUCCAAACGGUACGAACACGAAAAUAGAGUCCCGACAACCACGCUGGCGCUCCGAAAAUUCGAAACGGAACGCGUUUCGAUCUCUCCUCCUACUUUUAUUCUCGGCUAGAAAUUUCGCGCUGUACGGUAACGAAAAUGUCCCGGUUAUUUUUACGAUGGCUUUUUAACAUAGCGACAACCGGACAAAUAAGGAAAUCGAAAUAUGCAGGGGAAUCGAUAACGACGUAGAAAAGGCGCGAAGAACGUUAAGGACGACACAGAAAUAGAUACCGGUUGCAUCGCGCCCGAUACGAACAUAAAUACGCUGUACGAGCGUGUGGAAUAAAAGCGCCGUUACCGAUUUUUCGUUCCACUCUUCCAGCGUAUCGGAAGACCUUACGACCCGUUUCGAUAACCUAAAAGUCAAGGGUACUCGUUCGCGCCAAAGUCCCGAGGCUUCGAUAAUCUUCGGCAACGGAGAGGGCAGACGCCGGCUGAGAGAAAACGAGACGAUCGAGCGCGCCGCGACGCUCCACGAAAGAAUAAUCAAGAGAGUUUUUGAAAUUUGAAAACCCGAAGAAGCGCGCGGUCUUCCCUGUGGUUUUGCUUGUACGAAGCGUGCGGGGCACGCGCGCGAAUACGACCGUUCAAAAACGAACCACCCGUUGCAUUAUCCGCUUCGUGGUCGUCGUGUUCUUUUGAUCUACCCCAUAAUUAAUCCGCGGAGGUAACCGGAGACGCGUAUGGGCGCACCGGGACCCACGGGGCCGGCUCAUUCAUCGACGAAACUCUGGACCGAGUCAUUGAAAGGGUAUCAACGGAGAAACGGAGAACGGGAGAACGAGCGAGCGACGAAAGGAGAAGAGGGGAAGCGCUGAUUAACAUUUUCAUCAGAGCCGAGUCACGUGCCGCGCGUUUUGUGUAUCUAACCGUAAUGAUCGCUGCGACGACGCGACGACAAAUAUCUAAUCGCGGGAAAUAACCGUUCGCCAUAAAUCCGUCGACGGAAAAACCCGAUCGCCUCGCGAACCGAUUCGUAAAUCGGCGCCAGCGCGUCCCUCGGAAUCGAGAGCCGUCGCCGCGCUUAAUGGAGUGGCGCGUAAUUUCGUAUUCGCGAGGAUCAUUAACGCGCCAGCUGCUUCCCUCUCUUUUCGACGCGUUCCUCGAACGCGUUCGUUCCAACUUUUGCGACGAAACGUGGAACGAUAAUCUUCGAUGCCAUCUGCCGAGCAUCGCGUCGAUACGAGCCUCUUAACAGCCGUUCUCGCGUUCGCUCGUUGGCUCGCGGCUCGAAGAAGGUCGUUUGUCGGAUCGCGAUCGACGCAUCCGCCACGGAGAUAUUUGCAUCGGUCGCAGCUGCAGCCGACCGGUAAUUUCGACUUUUUUACGAGGGAGGUCAAAGCGCGACCUGCCUCCUUUACCUGCCGUUGCCAGCCGAUCUCGUACGCCCAAACUUGUCCCCCUCUCUCGCUCUCUCUACGAUCAUCGAUCCCCUCGUUAGGAAACUUGGAAGCUGAAAACGAGUCGUGCGACGACGAACUUUGACGCUCGCCGAGCGAGUUUAAUCGUCGCGCGAGAAAGAAAUCGAGCCUUCGUUCGCGGAGAGUGCGAGCCGUUGCGCAACGGAGGAGAAAAGGUCGAGCGUACGCGACGCGUCGUAAAUGAACGCGAGAUUAGCGCGAAAACAUACGUACGAUUACGCGAUAUUUCGUCGGCUCGCAUUCUCGACCUCGUCUCGCUCGUUAUCCGCUUGACCCGUACGCGUUAUCUUCCUUUCUCUUCGCCGCUCGUCCUUGCCGAUUAGCUUUUGCCGAAAUUUGUUUACCGAACGCGGUCGAGUCACUCGAAUCGUUCUUAUUUUUCUUGUCGACCGGAGUAAACGGUCACGGUUUUCUCGGUGGCGAACGCUCGAUCUCGACCGAAUCGACUCGCUUCGCAAAAUCGAGGCAGCUCGUUGCGUAAGCGUCACGCGUUUUCGGUUCCGUAACGUCGUUUCGCUGGAAUAUUUGUCGCGAGGGGAGAACCGGCAAGUCCGUCGGUGUAGGUGGCGGUGAAAAGUGGAAAGGGCCCGAGGAGCAGGAGGUUCGACGAGAAAAAUCUCGAGUUUCCAGUUCGGGAAACGGUCGCGGCGCACGUGUUUCUAGCGUUAUCAUCGGCUAGUAAAUUGUGCCGAGACAGCUUAGAAUCCCCUUGACCCGCGUGACUCGAUGAAAAACAUCUGUCGCCGCUGGUGCGCCGAGAGCCGUUCGUCCUCGCGUAAAAAAAGAGCAGCUAUACGUUCGACUGGCUUCGCGAUUCGGACGAAACGGCACGGAACGAGCUUGGAAUCGCGAACGACGAACGGAGCGGAAGGACGACGAUUGUUCGAGGUGCACCGAGCGUAGGAACGAACGAAAAGGGUGAAGGUGGAUAAAUAGAGGGAAAACGGGAAAGGAAAAGAGUCGGAAAGGAAGGGUGAAGAAGGAGAAAGAAGAAGAAGGAAAGAUUGGUUGCGGCGGUGAGGCGGUGAGGCGGUGAGGCGGAGCAUGGAGGUGGCGAAGGCGGGGCGAGCCAAGUUUCAGAGGCGUGAUGUAUCGACGGAAUUUCAAAGUGGUCCGGGUUCUCCAACGUUUUUCCAGCAGUUCGUUUCGUCGAAAUAUCUCGUUAGGAAGGACGAGUUCCUCUUUUUCGGCCGCGAAACGCUCGAUCGGUCGCGUUAAACGCAAGAAAAUCACCGCGAACCUUCUUGCAGAACGAACAGAGACGAGAACGCGAUGCAUAAUCCAUCGGACGGGUCGAGAAAUCGAAGGCGAACGCGGCGUAGGGUGCGGACGGUUCGGACGAGGAACCGAAAGGAAGGAUGAGAAAGAGGAGGAGGAAGAAGCGGCGGAGGAGUAGGAGGAAGAAGAGAGAGUGUUCGGGUGUGGGGAAAGACGAGAGGACGAGAACCGCGAUCCAUCAAGGAGACGCGAGGGUUUGGGGUGAUGUAUCCGUGGAUAGGUUGACCUCUGCGCCGGACACUAUAAAAUCACCCUUAAACAUUCCUUCCUGAAGCGAUCGCGAGCUUUUAACGAAACGCUUCCCCUCGCUUUCGAAUUUUUUCGCGCUCGAACCGUUACUCGUCCACCGAACGAGAAAUUCGAUCCCGGUGAUUGGAUCGAUUUCAUCGCGGCACGGAAAAUCCGUACGGAAUGGAUACCGUCGCGGCGUAUUCGUCUCGCCGCGAUUCGAAAGCGCGGAGAAAAAAGCCGAUUCUGUACGCGAAACGAACGCGUCGAAACAUCGAACGGCGCUCCGUUGUAUCGUUCAUGUUUCAUCGAGAACCAUCCACCCUCCUGGAGGAGAAAUGUCACGGAACGUCGGAAAUUGGAAAGCUUAUUCAUAUUUUUUCGAUAGACGAUAAUACGUUCCCGACGACGGAUCAGCCACCUUCGUUCCGCGUGCGUUACGCCAGGACCGAACUGGAACGGGAAAAAGAACCUACGACGAAUACGAUCCCCGAAUACCACCGCGAGUCCGAGGUUCUUUCUUCAUUUUUCCACCGUUCCUUGCCAUUCGUUCCUGUCAUUCUUCCUGCUUUUACAACCGAGCGAAGGAGAACGAUCAAAUCGAAGCUGCAUUUUUAUCAGUAACGUUAAUAAUGUUUGUCUGCGAGACAAGAAAUCUGGAGAUCUUACAGCAAAAUAAGUCUAGUUCUUCGUUGCAACUUCACGCUUAUAUAAUUUGAAAUGUAUAGUACACAUGUUCAAAAUAUGUAAAAAUGUAAAAGCGAAGACACCUUGAACAUUAGUUGUUAUUGCAUUCUUGUUAUCAACGCGCAUUAGGAAACGAGAUAAACACGAAUCUCUAUAUACGAACUUAAAUAUUUCUAGAUAAGACGAAUGGGAGAAAACAAGACUGAUAGAGUUGCAUCCUAGAGAUACUGAAUUAAAAACUUCUAACUUGGACUUCGCUGGAGAAUUUUAAUUUUAUACGGUUAAAGUUCCAAGUCCAAAAAUGAAAUGACUCGAUGAGAAGUGUGUUAUUUUCUACUUGAUUAAAUAAUUACGAUAUUUUGCAAAAAUUUCUCUUCUCGAACACGUAGCUACCUUGCCUAUUGUAAUACAAAAAUAGAAUUUUUCAAGUCAGUGACACGUUUCGAAGUAGAGACAGGUUUCACGAUAAGAAAAGUGAAACAGAUUUUGUUCAGUUUUGGGCUAUUUUAUCGCGUUGUACGCGUCGCGGUGAACAACGAUAGGAAAAGAGGGUCGAAGGAAGGGAGGCCGAUCGCGAACGUGCGCGCACGGAGAACGGGCAUUGAAAAUUAGACAUACGUUUCAUUUCCUGAAGCGACCGUGAUUUCCGGCGUUGCUUCAAAUAUUGGAAAUAUCUAGCGCCGUUCAAUUUAACGCGAAUCCGAUUCGAUCCGAUUUCGCGGGGCUGGAAAAAUCACGAUUCGGCUAUCCUCGUCGGCUCGCCCGAUCGACUCCGUUCGAAUCGAGUUUCGUCGUCGUUUCGCGUAUCUCCUCUUUUUCCUCCGUUAUCGAUUCGUAUCGGUCGUGACGUAACGCGUUCCAGCGAUGACCCGAGGCGUUUAUCGAAGACACCGUUUCCGUUCGAACGAAACAAGAUGUUUUUCAUUUAACGUCCAAGCCAAGCGAGACGAAAGCAAAAAAACCACGACGAUGGCGAUUAAUCGUGAUUUUCUCUCGAUCAUCGCGAUACGAGCGUAGCUCGAACUUUCACGUUAGGAUUUUAGCCACACGCCUUUCGAAGACGCUCGAGCGUCGCGUACACUGCGAUGCGCGCCGUGUAGUCGAUGCUAAGGCGCCAAACGAAAUUCUCGCUUCGCGGCGUUCAACACGAAAGCUUACAGGCAUAAUCCUUUUAACCUUUUCACGCUGGACAAAAUUACUCGGUCGUAUCUCAUCGACCGAACAGGGAAUGAUUUCAGCGUUACAGGUGUUCGAAGAUUUUGAAAUUCGCAACGCUUAUUAAUUUCGUUCUUACCCGUACAGACGAAUCCGUGGAAAAAAUCAGGACGAGCACGAGCGGUAAACUGAUCGCGCGGCUACGAAAGCAGAAGCGAGACGUCACAUUCAGGCACUCGAGUAAAAGAGGUGCUCGAUCGGGCAGAGGAAGGCCGAAGAAGGGUGUCGGUGCGGAGGGUAGAGAAAUCGACGGUGCACUUUAUCGGUGCCAUAAAGACUAAUAUAAUCCGAGAAGGAAAAAGAGCGAGCGAAACGCGAUAGACCGAGCGACGGGUGUCGACGGGUGUUGACGGGCACGCGUUUUCGGGGGACGCAGCGCACUAGGCUGUUUUUUAGGCGGAGUGGCUUUUUGCGGACGACAGGGCAUUUAAGGGAAUUGCUCCCCAGCGCCUUACCGCGAAUCGACUCUCUCGCCCCGCUUCGGGGGAAAAAAUCGUUUCUCGACCUCGUCAUCGUCUCGGACUCGCCUCGCGAUCGAUUUUUCCACGCUUUUUCGAUCGCUGAAACCGACUCGCUCGAGAGGAGCGAGAAAACGUGAUUUCGCGAGAGGAGGUUCGACGUUAUCCGAAUGCACCGUUGGUCAGGAAAUUGGCAUCUUCGGGGCGAACCGGCACGCGAAUCUCGAUUCGUUUGGUAUCGGACAAAAGUCAGAGACGCGACCGCGAUCCCGCUCGUAAUCGCGAACGUCUCGUUGCGGAUUUCUCGCAAUUUUCACCCUUCCAUCGCGACGCGUCUCCCUCUCGUGAUCCGUUGGCUCCGACGCUGCCACCCCGAACGAAAAAGAGAGACACUCGCGCGACGCCCGACGCGCGAACGAGCCCUUAUCGCAAAUGACUGCUUCCGUCGAGUAGCGAGCCAUUUAGAGAGCGUAACGGCGUUGCGCUUCGCGCGGCGAUCGCAAGGCGAGUACCUAAUCCAGACGAUAAUGGCUUACCGCCGCGGCACAACCGAGCGACCGAACAAAGACGGCGGCCGGUCUUCCUUUGGGAACAAAAGCGUUUCGUGCUGGCUCGAUAACGCGCCGCCGAAUCUUCCUAUCCUCUCGACUAUUCUUCGCGGCUAGUCUAAACUUCGAGAGCUCAUCCGCUUCUUCCGAGAUAAUCGAAGCACCGCGUAUGCCUACGAUCCGCGGCCCACCUUUUCCGCCCGCGACGAUACGCGUCGUUAUCCGCGUUCCUCGUUUCUCGAUAUCCCGUUACCGAGUUCCGACCCUAGUCAGCAUCCAAAGCGACCGACACAACCCUAUCGAUUACGCGACUCGCAAACGAAUUCUCGCGUCUAACGAGUCGCUAGACCAAACUACUCGUCUACUCGUUACACCGAUCGCGUGCUUUGCUCCCGAUCUCUGCAAGGCCGACGCAAACACAAGCGAACAGACGUCAACGCGCGACUCGAAGAGGAUCGAUCCGACGCGAGAGUGGAUUGCGGUGGCGAUCAUAGUUUUAAUCGAAGCGGAUAGAGCGAUCAGCGAGUAGCGGUUAAACGGUGGGUGGCGACGGAGGUGGAGGCAGCAGUCCCCUUCGAGGGAACGUCCGUUCGACUAGGCGUCGAGGUCGAAGGGGUGUCUCGAGCACCGUAUAUACCCUUUCGUGGGAUUAUUCGGUGGGUAAUGUAUGGCAAACAUAAAUCACGGAAUACGGGACAGACGGACGACAUAGCUACGCGAAACUCUCCGUCGACGAUGAUCCGGCCGACGCGACGCGGUUCGGUUAAACUAAUUGCUGGUUGGAUGGUUAGCUGCUGGAACAUCGCGAAUUCGAUUCCUGCUCGCUCCUAUUUCUCUCUAUUUUAUUUCUCAGAUCGAGGGAAAAUUGUUUAUUCUCUAUGAAGUCCUACAACCACUUCAGAGGAGUUUAGAAUUUAUUUAUUUUACGUGAAUCUUUUUGUUUCAAUGCACAUGGAACUGUUCUUGAUUUUGUCCCGAUUAUCACAAUAAAUAAAUAAAUCUUUUAGUUACACGUGCAACUUGAAGUAUUUGUUCGCAGAAAGAAUCGAAGUUGUUCGAAGAGAAAAACGCGACAAGUUUCGAGGAAAUAAAAGUGCGCGGUUAGAUAGGUCGGGGGCGUAAUUCUAAUUACGCAAAGUAUCCCGUUACAGAUUUACGAGGUCUCCCGUACACGUGUACGGAUCACUCGCGCGCCCUUUCCACGCACGCAGUCCCGUGACUUUUCUCCCGUGGUUCGCCACUCCAUUUACAUAUGAAUUAAACUAUUACGCCCCAUACGGCAGUCGGCGUGCUAAACCGCUCUGCUACCGCUACCCUGCUAUUCCUCUCGACCUGUUCUCCGGCCCGUUACCCACGAUCUAUCACCGCCGAGCCGGAGACCGACACCGACACCGAUACCGAUACCGGACUCGAUCCACUUUUUUCCACUCUUUUUUCUUUCCUCGAUCCGAACCAAACGGAUCGACGCAGAAUCAUGGUCGAGCCUCGCGUAA